This 497-nucleotide ribosomal RNA is filed under the name uncultured bacterium. RNAcentral's name for it is "partial 16S ribosomal RNA". It matches the Rfam family "Bacterial small subunit ribosomal RNA", at positions 28 to 507 of the family's 1533-position model. The record is from RNAcentral.
GAUGAACGCUGGCGGCGUGCCUAAUACAUGCAAGUCGAGCGAACAGAUGAGGAGCUUGCUCCUCUGACGUUAGCGGCGGACGGGUGAGUAACACGUGGAUAACCUACCUAUAAGACUGGGAUAACUUCGGGAAACCGGAGCUAAUACCGGAUAAUAUAUUGAACCGCAUGGUUCAAUAGUGAAAGACGGUUUUGCUGUCACUUAUACAUGGAUCCGCGCCGCAUUAGCUAGUUGGUAAGGUAACGGCUUACCAAGGCAACGAUGCGUAGCCGACCUGAGAGGGUGAUCGGCCACACUGGAACUGAGACACGGUCCAGACUCCUACGGGAGGCAGCAGUAGGGAAUCUUCCGCAAUGGGCGAAAGCCUGACGGAGCAACGCCGCGUGAGUGAUGAAGGUCUUCGGAUCGUAAAGCUCUGUUAUUAGGGAAGAACAAAUGUGUAAGUAACUAUGCACGUCUUGACGGUACCUAAUCAGAAAGCCACGGCUAACUACGUG